UUCCAUUAGAAAAGAUUUCCUAUCAUUGUCAAGGGAGUUCCCUGAUGACAUAUGUUCGGUGUUUCCCUGGCUAUCUGGGGCAGGGGUCAACCAGCAGAGCUCAAGCACUGGGAUCCUGAUCUGAAGCCCGAUGCCAACAGUGGAAAGACACCCAUUCACAGCAAUGGCCUUUGGAUCAGGCCUGCUGCACGCUGUUAUGGCUUAUAUGGAAGACAUUAAACAGGAGAUGAAGGAUGGUGUCGUGGGUAGGGCCCAUGCCAAGGACUCAACACCUGGGUUCAGUUCCUGGUUCUACUGCUGACUUGUUAUGUGACCUUAGAAAGUCGCUUCAAUUCUCCCCCAUAAAAUAUGGGUAACAAUACUUCUGUUCUUCUACCUAAAUCUCUUCAAGAUACAGACUAACAUGGCUGCUACUCUGAAACCUGUGAUGAGAGAAGGUCACCUAAGUAACUAGCAAGAUAUUGUAACCUCCUCUUCGACUUUCACAUCUUCCCAGUUAAGUCUACUCAACAUUCAGCAGC
Long non-coding RNA from Chelonia mydas (Green sea turtle), 521 nucleotides. RefSeq lists it as uncharacterized. The transcript is spliced from 4 exons. Lineage: Eukaryota; Metazoa; Chordata; Testudines; Cheloniidae. The record is from RefSeq and is a predicted model, not a curated record.